CCUACGGGUGACAGCAGUGAGGGAUAUUGGUCAAUGGGGGAAACCCUGAACCAGCAACGCCGCGUGAGGGAAGACGGUUUUCGGAUUGUAAACCUCUGUCCUCUGUGAAGAUAAUGACGGUAGCAGAGGAGGAAGCUCCGGCUAACUACGUGCCAGCAGCCGCGGUAAUACGUAGGGAGCAAGCGUUGUCCGGAUUUACUGGGUGUAAAGGGUGCGUAGGCGGCAUGUCAAGCGUGCUGUGAAAUGUCCGGGCUCAACCCGGGCCUUGCAGCGCGAACUGGCGUGCUUGAGUCCGCGGAAAGCAGGCGGAAUUCGUCGUGUAGCGGUGAAAUGCUUAGAUAUGACGAAGAACCCCGAUUGCGAAGGCAGCUUGCUGCAGCGGAACUGACGCUGAUGCUCGAAAGCGCGGGUAUCGAACAGGAUUAGAUACCCCAGUAGUC
RNAcentral lists this ribosomal RNA (440 nucleotides) under uncultured bacterium. RNAcentral's name for it is "partial 16S ribosomal RNA". It matches the Rfam family "Bacterial small subunit ribosomal RNA", at positions 338 to 795 of the family's 1533-position model. The record is from RNAcentral.